This 482-nucleotide ribosomal RNA is filed under the name uncultured bacterium. Its description in RNAcentral is "partial 16S ribosomal RNA". It matches the Rfam family "Bacterial small subunit ribosomal RNA", at positions 30 to 507 of the family's 1533-position model. The record is from RNAcentral.
AUUGAACGCUGGCGGCAUGCCUUACACAUGCAAGUCGAACGGUAACGGGCCUUCGGGUGCCGACGAGUGGCGAACGGGUGAGUAAUACAUCGGAACGUGCCCGAUCGUGGGGGAUAACGAGGCGAAAGCUUUGCUAAUACCGCAUACGAUCUACGGAUGAAAGCAGGGGACCGCAAGGCCUUGCGCGGACGGAGCGGCCGAUGGCAGAUUAGGUAGUUGGUGGGAUAAAAGCUUACCAAGCCGACGAUCUGUAGCUGGUCUGAGAGGAUGAUCAGCCACACUGGGACUGAGACACGGCCCAGACUCCUACGGGAGGCAGCAGUGGGGAAUUUUGGACAAUGGGCGCAAGCCUGAUCCAGCCAUGCCGCGUGAAGGAUGAAGGCCUUCGGGUUGUAAACUGCUUUUGUACGGAACGAAAAGCCUUCUUUUAAUACAGGAGGGUCAUGACGGUACCGGAAGAAUAAGCACCGGCUAACUACGUG